This 461-nucleotide ribosomal RNA is filed under the name uncultured bacterium. Its description in RNAcentral is "bacterial SSU rRNA". It matches the Rfam family "Bacterial small subunit ribosomal RNA", at positions 29 to 533 of the family's 1533-position model. The record is from RNAcentral.
AACGAACGCUGGCGGCAUGCCUAACACAUGCAAGUCGAACGCCCUCUUCGGAGGGAGUGGCGCACGGGUGCGUAACGCGUGGGAACCUGCCCUUAGGUUCGGAAUAACUCAGAGAAAUUUGAGCUAAUACCGGAUAAUGUCUUCGGACCAAAGAUUUAUCGCCUUUAGAUGGGCCCGCGUUGGAUUAGCUAGUUGGUGGGGUAAAGGCCUACCAAGGCGACGAUCCAUAGCUGGUCUGAGAGGAUGAUCAGCCACACUGGGACUGAGACACGGCCCAGACUCCUACGGAGGCAGCAGUGGGAAUCUUAGACAAUGGGCGCAAGCCAGAUCUAGCCAUGCCGCGUGAUCGAUGAAGGCCUUAGGGUUGUAAAGAUCUUUCAGUGGGGAAGAUAAUGACUGUACCCACAGAAGAAGCCCCCGGGCUAACUCCCGUGCCAGCAGCCGCGGUAAUGUGACUACUG